UUUUUACAACGGAGAGUUUGAUCCUGGCUCAGGAUGAACGCUAGCGGUAGGCCUAACACAUGCAAGUCGAACGGUAACAGAAAGAGCUUGCUCUUUGCUGACGAGUGGCGAACGGGAGCGUAACACGUAUGCAACUUACCCUAUACUGGGGACUAGCCCAGAGAAAUCUGGAUUAAUACCCCAUAUUAUCAUGGAUUCGCAUGUUUCUAUGAUGAAAGCUUUUGCGGUAAAGGAUAGGCAUGCGGCCCAUUAGUUAGUUGGUGAGGUAACGGCUCACCAAGACAACGAUGGGUAGGGGGUCUGAGAGGAUGAUCCCCCACACUGGUACUGAGACACGGACCAGACUCCUACGGGAGG
RNAcentral lists this ribosomal RNA (357 nucleotides) under Flavobacteriales bacterium. RNAcentral describes it as "bacterial SSU rRNA". It matches the Rfam family "Bacterial small subunit ribosomal RNA", at positions 1 to 348 of the family's 1533-position model. The record is from RNAcentral. Lineage: Bacteria; Pseudomonadati; Bacteroidota; Flavobacteriia; Flavobacteriales.